This 113-nucleotide small nucleolar RNA is filed under the name Mus spretus (western wild mouse). RNAcentral's name for it is "predicted gene, 25373 (ENSMSPG00010016451.1)". It matches the Rfam family "Small nucleolar RNA SNORA17". From Rfam's summary of the family: snoRNA ACA 17 belongs to the H/ACA family of snoRNAs and is predicted to guide pseudouridylation of the 28S rRNA at positions U4659 and U4598. It shares the same host gene together with ACA43. NB This family has a high threshold value to exclude a large number of closely related sequences that do not appear to have conserved H and ACA boxes, and may be pseudogenes. Lineage: Eukaryota; Metazoa; Chordata; Mammalia; Rodentia; Muridae. The record is from RNAcentral.
AUCCUAGAGCCAUAGUGAGUGUGACUGUUGUGUCACAUGUGCGUCAGUAGGUGGCAGAGAGAAGAGAGACCAUGUCUACAUUCUGCUAUGUCUGAGAUUAGCAGCCUAACACU